RNAcentral lists this long non-coding RNA (246 nucleotides) under Brassica napus (rape). Its description in RNAcentral is "long non-coding RNA (BNAP_LNC004283)". The record is from RNAcentral. Lineage: Eukaryota; Viridiplantae; Streptophyta; Magnoliopsida; Brassicales; Brassicaceae.
UCAAUAAAGAAGACACAUUCAGUUGAUUAUAUAUUCACUUCAAAUUGAUAAUUGGAGUUUCAAUAUAACAUUUUAAAGUAUAAACAUUUCAUUUUUUUUUAAAUUCUAGGGUAUAUUUGAGGUAUGGCUGAGUUAUAAUAGCAUAAUGGCUGAUUUAUACUAAUCGAUACGACUAAGUUAUAUAAACAUUUUUCGAUUUUAGGGUAUGGUGGAUAUAUGGCUGAUUUAUUUAAAUGGAUACGUCUG